AUACUAUCGUUGCUUCGGCGGGCAUCGCCCCGUGGCGCCUUGUGUGCCCCGGAUCCAGGCACCCGCCGGGGGACCUUAACUCUUGUUUUAUUUAGAAUCUUCUGAGUAGUUUUUACAAAUAAAUAAAAACUUUCAACAACGGAUCUCUUGGUUCUGGCAUCGAUGAAGAACGCAGCGAAAUGCGAAAAGUAAUGUGAAUUGCAGAAUUCAGUGAAUCAUCGAAUCUUUGAACGCACAUUGCGCCCGCCAGUAUUCUGGCGGGCAUGCCUGUCUGAGCGUCAUUUCAACCCUCAUACCCCUAGGGUGUGGUGUUGGGGAUCGGCCAAGGCCCGCAAGGGACGGCCGGCCCCUAAAUCUAGUGGCGGACCCGUCGUGGCCUCCUCUGCGAAGUAGUAAUAUUCCGCAUCGGAGAAGCGACGAGCCCCUGCCGUUAAACCCCCAACUUUCUAAGGUUGAGCCUCAGUAUCAGGUAGGAAUACCCGCUGAACUUAAGCAUAUCAAU
Molecule: ribosomal RNA, 502 nt
Filed under: Clonostachys rosea
Lineage: Eukaryota; Fungi; Ascomycota; Sordariomycetes; Hypocreales; Bionectriaceae
Description: eukaryotic LSU rRNA
Rfam family: 5.8S ribosomal RNA (bases 128-281)
Source: RNAcentral